Molecule: long non-coding RNA, 680 nt
Filed under: Nicotiana tabacum (common tobacco)
Lineage: Eukaryota; Viridiplantae; Streptophyta; Magnoliopsida; Solanales; Solanaceae
Description: long non-coding RNA (NTAB_LNC007771)
Source: RNAcentral
AAUACCCACCAUACCUCCUAAACUCCAUUGAUAGCCCCAAAGCCUUAUUGUCUUCUUUGCCACACCGUAAGAGAAAGUACCCAAAUCUAAAAAUUGGGUUUGAGUUAAUGUUUUAGAUCUGAAAAUUUCCCUCUUAUAAGAGAAAAACUUUAUGGAAGAAACAUUGGAUGGUUUUAUAGUGCUUGAAAUCCAGUUGCUGCUUUGAUUCCCAAAUCGCACCUCGACUUCUCGACUGCUUGAAGGGAAAGCUGAACCCAAAUCCACCUCGACUGCUUGAAGCCAAAAAUUGGGAAAAGAUGAAAGGCAAAGUUUGCAACUGGAAUAACAAUGCAAAUAGGUACUCCUUGAACAACCACUUUCGGGACUUUCAUGUGUUUCAUAUUUCUUGAGUUUUCUUUACAAAUUCUUGAUUUUACCUUCUAAUGGGGCUUAAUUUUCAUAGUGAUUAGUAGCUCUCAAUAGUUGAAGAUUUGGUUGUAUUUGGGGGUUCAAUAUUUGGGUAAAUAGGGUUGUAUACUGCUACUACCUCUCUCAUGGUUUUUUCCGAUUGUUUUUUCAAUUUCUCAACAGCAAAUUUGUCGAACUGUAGAAUUCUUCGUUUACUGGUAGUGUAGGAAGAAAUCACUAUUGGUAGCUGAGGAGAAAUUGUUGUUGGUUGCUAAGGAAAAAAUUAUUAUUGG